GGGGGAUAUUGCGCAAUGGGGGAAACCCUGACGCAGCAACGCCGCGUGAAGGAUGAAGGUCUUCGGAUUGUAAACUUCUUUUAUUAAGGACGAAUAAAGUGACGGUACUUAAUGAAUAAGCUCCGGCUAACUACGUGCCAGCAGCCGCGGUAAUACGUAGGGAGCAAGCGUUGUCCGGAUUUACUGGGUGUAAAGGGUGCGUAGGCGGCUUUGCAAGUCAGAUGUGAAAUCUAUGGGCUCAACCCAUAGCCUGCAUUUGAAACUGCAGAGCUUGAGUGAAGUAGAGGCAGGCGGAAUUCCCCGUGUAGCGGUGAAAUGCGUAGAGAUGGGGAGGAACACCAGUGGCGAAGGCGGCCUGCUGGGCUUUAACUGACGCUGAGGCACGAAAGCGUGGGUAGCAAACAGGAUUAGAUACCCUGGUAGUCCACGCUGUAAACGAUGAUUACUAGGUGUGGGGGGUCUGACCCCUUCCGUGCCGGAGUUAACACAAUAAGUAAUCCACCUGGGGAGUACGGCCGCAAGGUUGAAACUCAAAGGAAUUGACGGGGGCCCGCACAAGCAGUGGAGUAUGUGGUUUAAUUCGAAGCAACGCGAAGAACCUUACCAGGUCUUGACAUCCUACUAACGAGAUAGAGAUAUGUUAGGUGCCCUUCGGGGAAAGUAAAGACAGGUGGUGCAUGGUUGUCGUCAGCUCGUGUCGUGAGAUGUUGGGUUAAGUCCCGCAACGAGCGCAACCCUUGCUAUUAGUUGCUACGCAAGAGCACUCUAUUAGGACUGCCGUUGACAAAACGGAGGAAGGUGGGG
This 804-nucleotide ribosomal RNA is filed under the name uncultured bacterium. RNAcentral describes it as "bacterial SSU rRNA". It matches the Rfam family "Bacterial small subunit ribosomal RNA", at positions 356 to 1178 of the family's 1533-position model. The record is from RNAcentral.